RNAcentral lists this ribosomal RNA (639 nucleotides) under uncultured Actinomycetes bacterium. Its description in RNAcentral is "bacterial SSU rRNA". It matches the Rfam family "Bacterial small subunit ribosomal RNA", at positions 232 to 885 of the family's 1533-position model. The record is from RNAcentral. Lineage: Bacteria; Bacillati; Actinomycetota; Actinomycetes.
CGCGGCCUAUCAGCUUGUUGGUGAGGUAACGGCUCACCAAGGCAUCGACGGGUAGCUGGUCUGAGAGGACGAUCAGCCACACUGGGACUGAGACACGGCCCAGACUCCUACGGGAGGCAGCAGUAGGGAAUCUUGCGCAAUGGGCGAAAGCCUGACGCAGCAACGCCGCGUGGGGGAUGAAUGCCUUCGGGUUGUAAACCCCUUUCAGCAGGGACGAAAAUGACGGUACCUGCAGAAGAAGCUCCGGCCAACUACGUGCCAGCAGCCGCGGUAAUACGUAGGGAGCGAGCGUUGUCCGGAAUUAUUGGGCGUAAAGAGCUCGUAGGCGGUUCAGUAAGUCGGGUGUGAAAACUCAAGGCUCAACCUUGAGACGCCACUCGAUACUGCUGUGACUAGAGUGCGGUAGGGGAGCGGGGAAUUCCUAGUGUAGCGGUGAAAUGCGCAGAUAUUAGGAGGAACACCAGUGGCGAAGGCGCCGCUCUGGGCCGUAACUGACGCUGAGGAGCGAAAGCGUGGGUAGCAAACAGGAUUAGAUACCCUGGUAGUCCACGCCGUAAACGUUGGGCACUAGGUGUGGGUCUCAACCAACGAGAUCCGCGCCGUCGCUAACGCAUUAAGUGCCCCGCCUGGGGAGUACGG